RNAcentral lists this ribosomal RNA (497 nucleotides) under uncultured bacterium. RNAcentral describes it as "partial 16S ribosomal RNA". It matches the Rfam family "Bacterial small subunit ribosomal RNA", at positions 28 to 507 of the family's 1533-position model. The record is from RNAcentral.
GAUGAACGCUGGCGGCGUGCCUAAUACAUGCAGGUCGAGCGAACAGACGAGGAGCUUGCUCCUUCGACGUUAGCGGCGGACGGGUGAGUAACACGUAGGUAACCUACCUAUAAGACUGGGAUAACUUCGGGAAACCGGAGCUAAUACCGGAUAAUAUUUCGAACCGCAUGGUUCGAUAGUGAAAGAUGGCUUUGCUAUCACUUAUAGAUGGACCUGCGCCGUAUUAGCUAGUUGGUAAGGUAACGGCUUACCAAGGCAACGAUACGUAGCCGACCUGAGAGGGUGAUCGGCCACACUGGAACUGAGACACGGUCCAGACUCCUACGGGAGGCAGCAGUAGGGAAUCUUCCGCAAUGGGCGAAAGCCUGACGGAGCAACGCCGCGUGAGUGAUGAAGGUCUUCGGACCGUAAAACUCUGUUAUUAGGGAAGAACAAACGUGUAAGUAACUGUGCACGUCUUGACGGUACCUAAUCAGAAAGCCACGGCUAACUACGUG